GGAGAUAUGGCUCCAGUGGUAGAGCAUAUGCUUAGCAAGUGUGAGGCCCUGAGUUCCAACCUCAGUACCUCAA
This 73-nucleotide transfer RNA is filed under the name Dipodomys ordii (Ord's kangaroo rat). It matches the Rfam family "tRNA". From Rfam's summary of the family: Transfer RNA (tRNA) molecules are approximately 80 nucleotides in length. Their secondary structure includes four short double-helical elements and three loops (D, anti-codon, and T loops). Further hydrogen bonds mediate the characteristic L-shaped molecular structure. tRNAs have two regions of fundamental functional importance: the anti-codon, which is responsible for specific mRNA codon recognition, and the 3' end, to which the tRNAs corresponding amino acid is attached (by aminoacyl-tRNA synthetases). tRNAs cope with the degeneracy of the genetic code in two manners: having more than one tRNA (with a specific anti-codon) for a particular amino acid; and 'wobble' base-pairing, i.e. permitting non-standard base-pairing at the 3rd anti-codon position. The record is from Rfam by way of RNAcentral. Lineage: Eukaryota; Metazoa; Chordata; Mammalia; Rodentia; Heteromyidae.